This 31-nucleotide non-coding RNA is filed under the name Rattus norvegicus (Norway rat). The record is from RNAcentral. Lineage: Eukaryota; Metazoa; Chordata; Mammalia; Rodentia; Muridae.
UGGNGCUAAUCUGACUUAUGUCAUAGCCACA